This 96-nucleotide microRNA precursor is filed under the name Marmota monax (woodchuck). Lineage: Eukaryota; Metazoa; Chordata; Mammalia; Rodentia; Sciuridae. The record is from RNAcentral.
AUACAGGUCACCUGGAAUUCUUGUUCAAAUUCAGAUUCUUAUUUAGUAAUUCAAGGUGAGAAUCUGCAGUUUUAACAAGUUUCCAGUGCUGCUAAU